RNAcentral lists this ribosomal RNA (22 nucleotides) under Trichoderma amazonicum. RNAcentral describes it as "partial 28S large subunit ribosomal RNA". The record is from RNAcentral. Lineage: Eukaryota; Fungi; Ascomycota; Sordariomycetes; Hypocreales; Hypocreaceae.
UGACCUCGGAUCANGGUAGGAA